AGGAGUGUAGCUCAGCCUGGUAGAGCAGCGGUCUCCAAAACCGCCGGUCGAGGGUUCGAAUCCUUCCACUCCUGCCA
RNAcentral lists this transfer RNA (77 nucleotides) under Chloroflexota bacterium. Its description in RNAcentral is "tRNA-Trp". It matches the Rfam family "tRNA". Rfam says of the family: Transfer RNA (tRNA) molecules are approximately 80 nucleotides in length. Their secondary structure includes four short double-helical elements and three loops (D, anti-codon, and T loops). Further hydrogen bonds mediate the characteristic L-shaped molecular structure. tRNAs have two regions of fundamental functional importance: the anti-codon, which is responsible for specific mRNA codon recognition, and the 3' end, to which the tRNAs corresponding amino acid is attached (by aminoacyl-tRNA synthetases). tRNAs cope with the degeneracy of the genetic code in two manners: having more than one tRNA (with a specific anti-codon) for a particular amino acid; and 'wobble' base-pairing, i.e. permitting non-standard base-pairing at the 3rd anti-codon position. The record is from RNAcentral. Lineage: Bacteria; Bacillati; Chloroflexota.